Molecule: small RNA, 371 nt
Filed under: Pongo abelii (Sumatran orangutan)
Lineage: Eukaryota; Metazoa; Chordata; Mammalia; Primates; Hominidae
Description: processed transcript
Source: RNAcentral
UCCCAGAAGCCUCCGGUGUACUUCGCUGGGAACGCACUUCCUGGGACGCUGAGAGGGAGACGCUCCAAGAGGCUCCUCAGUGUGGGCGAGUAAAAUGCCCUGCGUGUGAGAAGCAGGCUCAGAUUAUUGCUACUCUGUAUUCAGAUCUGCAUGUGUUUCUUCUAAGCUGAAUAAAGCUGUUUUGGAACUGUCAGGUACCUCAAAGGGUAAAAUGUGCUGUAAAGAAGAGUUGUCAAUUGUGCACAGAAGAUAAGAAAGCUUCCUUCAGGAUUUUAAUCAUCCUUACAGCCUCUUUGAGAAUGAUUGAACUUCCAAAUUCCCUAAAGUUAAAAUUUUAAAUUCUAUUAAACAUUUUUUCGAGUAUUUCAUUA